RNAcentral lists this ribosomal RNA (301 nucleotides) under uncultured bacterium. Its description in RNAcentral is "partial 16S ribosomal RNA". It matches the Rfam family "Bacterial small subunit ribosomal RNA", at positions 509 to 807 of the family's 1533-position model. The record is from RNAcentral.
CAGUAGCCGCGGUAAUACGUAGGGUGCAAGCGUUAAUCGGAAUUACUGGGCGUAAAGCGUGCGCAGGCGGUUUGUUAAGACAGAUGUGAAAUCCCCGGGCUCAACCUGGGAACUGCAUUUGUGACUGGCAAGCUAGAGUAUGGCAGAGGGGGGUGGAAUUCCGCGUGUAGCAGUGAAAUGCGUAGAUAUGCGGAGGAACACCGAUGGCGAAGGCAGCCCCCUGGGCCAAUACUGACGCUCAUGCACGAAAGCGUGGGGAGCAAACAGGAUUAGAUACCCCAGUAGUCCCUGUCUCUUAUAC